GGAUGUCAGCGACGUUCAUAGCGGCUGAGUUGGGGACGUCGAGGAGGGUGGGCACGGCGCCGACGGUGACGAGCAUGGAUAGCACGCGGUCGUUGUUGUUGUUGUUGUUGUUGUUGUUGUGUUGGUCGACGGCGGCGGAGGAGGAGGAGCAGAGGGAUUUGAUGAGAGCGGUGGGGACACUCAAGGAGGAGAAGGAGAAGAAAGAAGUGGAAGAAAAAAAAAAUAGUGUAAAUUGGAAGAAGAAGAAGAAAAAAGAAAAUGUAAAUUCCACCUAAAUAGUGCAACUUCAUCCUAAAGAAUGUAAAUCUGAUUCCAAAGAGUGUAACUUCUGUCUCAAAGAGUACAACGUUUAUUUAAAAUAAUGCAAAAUUUUUUUAAAAUAGCGUAACAUUAUUUUAACAGUGCAAUUCAUUAUUUUUUCUUCCUUCUUAUAUAAUUUUCGAUCUUCUAUGGAGAAAAAAAAUAUUUUUUUAUUUUUAUUUUUUAAUAAUUUUUUUUUGUCACGAUCUCUCCUUUGCCCACUAUCACAGCCACCGCCCUCGCCGGAGUUUUCUCCCCUUCUUGUCGGU
Molecule: long non-coding RNA, 569 nt
Filed under: Ananas comosus (pineapple)
Lineage: Eukaryota; Viridiplantae; Streptophyta; Magnoliopsida; Poales; Bromeliaceae
Description: long non-coding RNA (ACOM_LNC007060)
Source: RNAcentral